RNAcentral lists this transfer RNA (74 nucleotides) under Tetragenococcus halophilus. Its description in RNAcentral is "tRNA-Pro". It matches the Rfam family "tRNA". From Rfam's summary of the family: Transfer RNA (tRNA) molecules are approximately 80 nucleotides in length. Their secondary structure includes four short double-helical elements and three loops (D, anti-codon, and T loops). RNAcentral also lists the same sequence under 2 other names. The record is from RNAcentral. Lineage: Bacteria; Bacillati; Bacillota; Bacilli; Lactobacillales; Enterococcaceae.
CGGGAAAUAGCUCAGUUUGGUAGAGCACUUGCUUCGGGAGUGAGGGGUCGCAGGUUCAAAUCCUGUUUUCCCGA